RNAcentral lists this non-coding RNA (242 nucleotides) under Pediculus humanus corporis (human body louse). Lineage: Eukaryota; Metazoa; Arthropoda; Insecta; Psocodea; Pediculidae. The record is from RNAcentral.
ACCGGAAGUGGUGGUGUACUCCUGUAAUCCAACUACUCGGAGGCCUGGGUAAAGGGGAUGUUUUAGGGGAUUGAAUCUCCCACGUUGACUUGGCGUCCGCUGGGGGUAAAUCGGAAACAUGAAUGCCUUGGGGGAGUCCGAAGUAGCCAGGUUGAGCCCAAAUAGAGAAAAUGUUCAAAUCUUAAGAGUGAGAGUGGGAGUUACAUUUCAACUUGUCCAAACAAGACCAGACCUGUACCUUA